GUGCCAGCAGCCGCGGUAAUACGUAGGGGGCAAGCGUUAUCCGGAUUCAUUGGGCGUAAAGCGCGCGUAGGCGGCUUGUUAAGUCAGGUGUGAAAACCGGGGGCUCAACCCGCGGCCUGCACCUGAAACUGGCAGGCUUGAGUCUGGUAGAGGGAAAUGGAAUUCCGAGUGUAGCGGUGAAAUGCGCAGAUAUUCGGAAGAACACCAGUGGCGAAGGCGGUUUCCUGGGCCACGACUGACGCUGAGGCGCGAAAGCUAGGGGAGCGAACAGGAUUAGAAACCCCCGUAGUCC
Molecule: ribosomal RNA, 292 nt
Filed under: uncultured bacterium
Lineage: Bacteria
Description: partial 16S ribosomal RNA
Rfam family: Bacterial small subunit ribosomal RNA
Source: RNAcentral